Molecule: non-coding RNA, 231 nt
Organism: Phasianus colchicus (ring-necked pheasant)
Lineage: Eukaryota; Metazoa; Chordata; Aves; Galliformes; Phasianidae
Source: RefSeq, a predicted model, not a curated record
UUGCCCCAAGAGACAUCGAGACUGGAAACAGAUGCUUCUGAGUCCAUUUGCCUGUUGGACCUUGAAGUUUUUUUACUCGGGAUGGUGUUCACUAGCAACUUAGAACUGCAAGAGAAGUUUAAUACUCAGCGUGGCACACAUCAACCUCUGUUCUUACCGUUGCUGCUGUGCAAACAGUUCUGUACUGAGAAGCAAAGAUCCUGGUGGGAUGCUGUUUGUGCUCUUAUGCAG